GUCCAGGGAAAAGGGCCGGCCCGAGGGAGAACCCCUCCUUUUCCCCCGACGGCCGCUCGCGGCCUCCACCGGGCUGUGUCGGGCCCGGCCGCACACUGUCCCGGGGACCGAGAACGCUGUGCGCCUAGCAGGUGGGAGGGAGAGCCAGGCGUCCCUAUCCGCCCCCCCCCACCCCCCGCAACCGAGGAAGGGCGCUCCAAGGGACGGAGCUGGCCGUCCGGGGGACUGCGGGAUACCGCUGGGGGCGCGUGUUCUUUCCUGGAGGAAAUAACCGGGGGUGCGGCGGGGCGGCGGCGAAGACUCUGGAUUUGACGCUGGUCGCAAUCGCGACCCCUCCGAGAAAUGGAAGCAGUCCAACGUUGGAGGCAGCACCUGCCGCUAAUAAUCUGUACAACUUUGAGGGUCGCGGUUUCUCUAGGGGACUCCGUUUCCGGAGGGGUCUGGUUCGCACCGCACAGAACCGGGGUGGUAAGAUCGAGAUGUCAGUGUCACGAACUGUUUGUCAAGCUGAAGCCGUCUUGGUUCCUACGAGGUGUGGACUGCCAGUGCGUGCUCCAGGCUGACUUCAUCUCUUCCCAUAAAGAUACGAUCGUAAGCGGUCGGGCUGGAUGAACUCAUUCUCGUCCCUGAUCCUCCUUUGGGCUACACUUCCUUCCACCCCGGACGCUCCCUAGGUGGGUUCCCGACGUUAGUAAAGGAAGGCUUCUGCUCCCCCUGGUGGUCCUAAAUGGAAAAGGCAGAAGUUUGGAUUCCACCUGCUAGUUGUAUACAAGAAAUGAAAAAGUUGGGGCACCUGGGUGGCUCAGUCUGUUAACUGUUGGACUUCGGCUCAGGUCAUGAUCUCGCACUCUGUGAGUUCGAGCCCCACAUCAGGCUCUGUGCUGACAGCUCAGAGCACAGAGCCUGCUUCAGAUUCUGUGUCUCCCUCUCUCUCUCCCUUCCCCAACUUGUGCUCUGUCUCUCUCGCUCUCA
This is a long non-coding RNA of Neofelis nebulosa (Clouded leopard), 972 nucleotides long. RefSeq lists it as uncharacterized. NCBI's taxonomy places the organism in Eukaryota, Metazoa, Chordata, Mammalia, Carnivora, Felidae. The record is from RefSeq and is a predicted model, not a curated record. The transcript is spliced from 3 exons.